UGAUGCCAGGGGUCAAAAGGUCUAAAUCCACAUGAGCUUGCUCAUAAGUGGAUGAAAGACCUUGGAACCCGCCCCGAUAUGAGCAUAAAAGUGGGAUGAUAAUCCCACGAUAUGCGAAUACUGGGGUGCUAUGUGCCAGUGGCACAUGUUUAGCACCGACCGAAGCGGAGCGUAGAAAGGAUUGUGGGAGUGCAACGCACGGAACAAUCCGUAGGCAUCA
Molecule: small RNA, 220 nt
Filed under: Firmicutes bacterium CAG:56
Lineage: Bacteria; Bacillati; Bacillota
Description: Clostridiales-1 RNA
Rfam family: Clostridiales-1 RNA
Source: Rfam by way of RNAcentral